RNAcentral lists this long non-coding RNA (336 nucleotides) under Brachypodium distachyon (stiff brome). RNAcentral describes it as "long non-coding RNA (BDIS_LNC002145)". Lineage: Eukaryota; Viridiplantae; Streptophyta; Magnoliopsida; Poales; Poaceae. The record is from RNAcentral.
AGAUCCCGUGGGCCAUUGGUGCGACAAGUGGCAAUUGUACGAGAGAUAGGUUCCCAAUUUUUUCAUGUUUUAUUUUUUUGAUCGUCACAUUUGAACAUUGUAUUUGUCUGCCAGAACAUUCUCUAUUUGUUUGAUCGUCACAUUUGAACAAUUUGAUGUAAUUUGGGUUAUUGUUUUAUUUCCGUGGUGUUUGCACAUUGAUAUUUGAUCAAUUUGCUUUUAUAUUGUCUGAAAUGUAUGAACUGUAUCCAGUGUCGAUUUUAACUGUCGGACUGUCAAUUUAUAUUAGCGGUACUAGUUUUACGCAACCGGCAGAACAUAAUCCGCAAACUGACC